Molecule: long non-coding RNA, 2917 nt
Organism: Hordeum vulgare subsp. vulgare (domesticated barley)
Lineage: Eukaryota; Viridiplantae; Streptophyta; Magnoliopsida; Poales; Poaceae
Exons: 11
Source: RefSeq, a predicted model, not a curated record
CCUCCCCUCCCUGCCCCGAUCGCGCAUCCGCCGCGCGCCCCCAAAUCGCACCGCUAUUGGUCGUACGCACUAGUGGCCAUGCGCCUCCACCGGCGUCCCCUCCAUCGCAGCCCCACCGCCGCCGUGAGCCAACCCACCGCCGCACCCAGCCACCCCACCUCUGCUCCUAGCCACCCAGCACUUCCGGACGUCCUAAACCGAAUUCGUGCCGCCCGCCCCCACCACCACAACCCCGCCGCCGCUCCAAGCCACCCCACCACCGCUCCGAACCAACCAACCACCGGUAUUAGCCACCCCGCCCCCGACGACCUCCCUCCACCCAGACGACCCAACCUAAUAAUUCCACGACAACGCUGUCGAGCACCUCCAUGAACCGAGCAGUGGAGGAGCGAGCGGGACCACUUCCUUCAUGUCCUCUCCAAUCCCCCAAGCAGCAGAGCAUCCCGCUUCUUCGGUGAGAAACUCUCUACCACCUCUACAUCCUCUCUGUGGGUAGUGGUGCCUCCUCAAAUUCCUCUCUAGCGAUAUAAUAUGAAGCUAAAGGGAUUUGUUUGUACCAAGAGCCAUCUCGAGGGGUCAAUGGCAGAGGGCUAUGUGUUUGAUGAGGCCCUUACAUUCUGUUCCAGUUAUUUACAAGGAUGUGAUACUAUAUUUAAUAGAAAAUGCAGAAAUGAUGCCCCAAGACCAAUGUAUCUACCAUGCCAUGUUUUUAACAAAAAGGGGGCGAUUUUUGUCUGGAAAGCAUAUAGUGACCUUGGAUCACAAGUCAUGGCUGCAAGCACAUCGAUAUGUUUUGUUCAAUUAUGACAACAUAGAUCCAUACUUGAGUAAUGGAAAAAGGAAGGGACGAGGACAAUGUUCAAGAACGAGAGGAAGAGAGGCUAGCGAGACUUAGAAUAAGAAACAACGAGGAUUUAAAAUGAUUUGGUCGCUUUAGAUUUGUAAAUAUAAAUAAAGAAAAUGGAGGCCCACCUAGUCAGCGACAAACUAAAAGAAGAGCACUGCAGAAAAGCCUAUUGUUGAAGUAACUCGAGUCCUUAGGUCCCAAUCAACUAGUGAUGUUGAAGAGAUGCCUUGUGACAACAUUCAAGAGCAUGAAGACCAUGAGUUGGAUCAAGUAACAAAAGUGAAGAAGGGAAAAAGCGCACUAGAAUGCACAGUGUGUAUGAUAGAUUGGGGACAGUGCCACCAAUUCGUGUAGAGUACAAUGAAGAUGGACAACCAGUUGGGGACAAUGCAUCAGAGUUUUCCGACUUCAUCUUCACACUUGUGAAAAGUAAAAUAUAUCUUAGGCACACUGAUUGGGGAAAGGUUGAAGUUGAGCAAAAAAAUUCAAUUGUGGACAACCUUAAAGAUGUAUUAUGUUGUGGAUGAAAAACUUAAGGAUUGGCUCAAGGGAAGCGCUGCCAAGAAAUGCGGGGAUUUCAAAUCAGAGUUGAAUACUUUGUAUUUUGAUGACAAGACCGAUGAGGAACUCCAAGUUGGCCCUAGUUAUAGAGUUAUACCAAAAAAUUGGGAAGAACUUGUUGCCUUUUGGAAAAGUGGAGCAGGUAAGAAACGCAGCCAACAAGGAAAACAAACCGAAAAGAGAUGGAACUAUUGUAUACAUCAUGAAGCAUAAGUCGUGCUCGUGUUUCUCAUGAAAUGCAUAAGAAUAAUGGAUAUCCCCUUCAUAGACAUGAAGUGUUUAUGGAAACACACAAGUGCAAGAAGACUCGUGCCCCUUCAAGUGUUGCUACAUCAAAUAUAAAAAGAUAGAAGUUAUGGAGAAAGAGCAUCCAGAACUUUUGGAAAAAAACAUCAAGCAAGGUGGCCUCUUCUCGCAUGUAACUGGAAAUGAGAGGAAUGGGUAUGUCAGGUGUAUAGGUCUAGGACCAAGUGCUACAGAUUUGGGCAUGCCAAGAACUAGAAAUCUGAAAUCAACAAAGCUUGAAAUGGCUGAGGAAGAAGCAAAAGAAGCUCGACAAGCAAAUGCAAUUCUACAUGAGCAUGUAGAUCAAAUCGAGACUGGUUUAGAAUCAGUAGUUGCAAGUCUCAAGGAUGAAUUUCUACAAUUGAAGAGAUUGUUGUUACAAUCAAAUGUUAGACAAAAUGUUGAGUUCAGUUUAUACGAAGAUGGAUAUGAAGGUGCAUAUGGAUCCAGACAUGAAGAUAGUGUAGGAUCUGUCACCGCUAACCUUGCUGUGCAAUGAGAGAAGGACGCAACCAUUUUGCAAAAGAAGACUGAAGGGGCACUCUUGCAUAAGAAGUUGUCAACAUUCACUCAAAAAAAUGUGUCCAAUCCGACCCUGCUCAACAUGAGACUGAAGGGGCACUCUUGCAAGAGAAGAGAGUUGCCAUUUCCCAAAAUAAGAAGGCAACAAUGUAACAAGAUAAGGAUGUGACACUUCAGCGCAACAACAUCCCUGCAGAAGGAAGUCCCAUUCACACAAAAACAUUAUCAGCAGGGAAAGGAUGUGAUACUAUAUAGAGUUUAUCGGGAUCAUGGUAGCCCUGUGGCAAAAGCUACCAUUCUAUCAAUUAAUCGGAGAGAGGUGGUAGGUGGUCAGGAGCUUGGCUCUAAAUAUUUUAAGGUUGUCGAGAACUAUGUAAUUGAAAGAGAUGCCAUUCUUCCUCGUGGUGCUGGAAACAUGACCAUACAAGCAUUUGGAAGUGGACAAGUCAGUGGAAAAUGUAGCAAUGCGGCCACAAGCAAGAUGAUGAGGUUUCCCAAAGAUACACAACAAGUUGGAGGUUUCGAAGAUCUGGAAGACCUUCAAUUUUUAGUGUUGGAAUGAUAAUGUGAUAUGUUUGUUUUUGAACCUGGAGACUAUCCCUGCCCAUUUUGUAACAACCACUGUAUGGCCACUUCCCCUUUUGUGGCACAAAUUCAUUUUGGUUAUAUGGCACAUCUUGAAACAUAUAUAUGUUCUCGUUA